UACGUAGGGCGCAAGCGUUAUCCGGACUUAUUGGGCGUAAAGAGCUCGUAGGCGGUUUGUCGCGUCUGCCGUGAAAGUCCGGGGCUCAACUCCGGAUCUGCGGUGGGUACGGGCAGACUAGAGUGAUGUAGGGGAGACUGGAAUUCCUGGUGUAGCGGUGAAAUGCGCAGAUAUCAGGAGGAACACCGAUGGCGAAGGCAGGUCUCUGGGCAUUAACUGACGCUGAGGAGCGAAAGCAUAGGGAGCGAACAGG
Molecule: ribosomal RNA, 253 nt
Filed under: uncultured bacterium
Lineage: Bacteria
Description: partial 16S ribosomal RNA
Rfam family: Bacterial small subunit ribosomal RNA
Source: RNAcentral